AGUGAACGCUGGCGGUAGGCCUAACACAUGCAAGUCGAACGGCAGCACAGUAAGAGCUUGCUCUUACGGGUGGCGAGUGGCGGACGGGUGAGGAAUACAUCGGAAUCUACUUUUUCGUGGGGGAUAACGUAGGGAAACUUACGCUAAUACCGCAUACGACCUACGGGUGAAAGCAGGGGAUCUUCGGACCUUGCGCGAUUGAAUGAGCCGAUGUCGGAUUAGCUAGUUGGCGGGGUAAAGGCCCACCAAGGCGACGAUCCGUAGCUGGUCUGAGAGGAUGAUCAGCCACACUGGAACUGAGACACGGUCCAGACUCCUACGGGAGGCAGCAGUGGGGAAUAUGGGACAAUGGGCGCAAGCCUGAUCCAGCCAUACCGCGUGGGUGAAGAAGGCCUUCGGGUUGUAAAGCCCUUUUGUUGGGAAAGAAAAGCAGCAGGUUAAUACCCCGCUGUUCUGACGGUACCCAAAGAAUAAGCACCGGCUAAAUUCGUG
Molecule: ribosomal RNA, 492 nt
Filed under: uncultured bacterium
Lineage: Bacteria
Description: partial 16S ribosomal RNA
Rfam family: Bacterial small subunit ribosomal RNA
Source: RNAcentral